AUUGAACGCUGGCGGCAUGCCUUACACAUGCAAGUCGAACGGCAGCACGGGUGCUUGCACCUGGUGGCGAGUGGCGAACGGGUGAGUAAUACAUCGGAACAUGUCCUGUAGUGGGGGAUAGCCCGGCGAAAGCCGGAUUAAUACCGCAUACGAUCUACGGAUGAAAGCGGGGGCCCUUCGGGCCUCGCGCUAUCGGGUUGGCCGAUGGCUGAUUAGCUAGUUGGUGGGGUAAAGGCCUACCAAGGCGACGAUCAGUAGCUGGUCUGAGAGGACGACCAGCCACACUGGGACUGAGACACGGCCCAGACUCCUACGGGAGGCAGCAGUGGGGAAUUUUGGACAAUGGGCGGAAGCCUGAUCCAGCAAUGCCGCGUGUGUGAAGAAGGCCUUCGGGUUGUAAAGCACUUUUGUCCGGAAAGAAAUCCUUGGCCCUAAUACGGUCGGGGGAUGACGGUACCGGAAGAAUAAGCACCGGCUAACUACGUG
Molecule: ribosomal RNA, 486 nt
Filed under: uncultured bacterium
Lineage: Bacteria
Description: partial 16S ribosomal RNA
Rfam family: Bacterial small subunit ribosomal RNA
Source: RNAcentral